Molecule: transfer RNA, 73 nt
Filed under: uncultured marine phage
Description: tRNA-Lys
Rfam family: tRNA
About the family: Transfer RNA (tRNA) molecules are approximately 80 nucleotides in length. Their secondary structure includes four short double-helical elements and three loops (D, anti-codon, and T loops).
Source: RNAcentral
GGUCCGUUCGUCUAGCGGUUAGGACGCUACCUUUUUCGGGUGGAAACAGAGGUUCGAAUCCUCUACGGACUAC